AAGUGCUCCUCAACAGUGGCUGUCAAGAGAUGAGAUCUGGAUGGUAAGCUGAUGGAACGAGAAUGAGCACUAACUUUUGUGGUUGCAAUUGAGGCUGCCAUUUUUAUUUGCAGGAGGAAUUAGAUGCCAAUGAAAAUCCUGAACUCAAGGUUUGUUUGAUUGAACUCUCACCUUGGCACCUUUUUAUAAACUAUGAGGAGACAAAAGGAAUCAACUUAAUUUCCUUCAUGUGCCGAACAGAGAAACAGGCCAAGGUAACUAGGGGCUGAGGGCAAAACAGGCUAGAAUAGGGAUUAGUGACUCGGGUUGACCUAGCAAUGCAGUUUGUAAAAUUUUGUGUGUGAUUACUAUAUUAUAGUUUGAUUAUAUAUCUGGAUGAUCUGAAUUUUAAAGCUAUUUGCACUCAAAUCGCAAUUAAUCUUCUGUGUAUGUUUAUAUUAAUAUGAAUUGCCACCCGGAUCCGGUCUACUUCUAGUUUACAUUAGAUAGAUAAUUACAGUAUUGAUUGCGAGAAAAGAAUUGGGGACGGGUAUAACUCCUUUUUUUGACCCUGCACUGCGUUCUUAUUUGCGGUUUUGGGAUAUGUGAUGGGUAUGAGAAGGAUCCUGUUGCAGAAAUAUAUAUAUUUUGCAAAUUGUGUUGUUGAUGAAAUAUACGCGAAACCGAAUAUUGACUUUAAACAGUUGUUUUCGCAAUCUUUCUCGUUGAUAAUAUACUAGCUUCACAUACAGUCUGUACUCAUGUAUGUACAAAAACUGAUCCCUCACAAAAAUUCGGGGAUGCAGUAAUAGUCUAUCUAAUAGACAAUUCUGUUGGAAAAGAACUAGUGGUUGAGCACAUUGAGAAUUAAUACUCGUGUCUUGAUCAAUGAUCGGACUAGACAGUCUAAUUGUUCUUCACAUUCUUGCAUAUUCAUGUCCAAUGCCGUCAGACAUUUCUGAACGUCUUCUGUUUCUGUGAUAUCACUUUUUUUGCUUGAUUUCUUGCUGAUAGCUUCUAAAGCCAUAUCCAUGUUGUGAACUUGGUUGAUAAUUUCUUCUGUGUCCUCUUCACAAUGUACACGCUUGGACUGUGUUGACUUGAAAACCUUUGACCAUGUGCUUUUUGUCGAUGCUUCCUUUGCAGGACAGAUGGAUGAGAAGAUAGACUCGAAAACUGAGAUGCUGACUUCUUCGACUUCCCUUAGAAGGCUCACGAUAGCAGGAGUCUCGAUGCUUUUGUUAAUUUUGGACUUCUUAGAACCAGCAAAGCACUUGGAGAGCAUUCUGUUUGCCUUUUUCUUACAUACCAGGUAGCUUGCGAUUCUGCUUGAUACAUCAGUUUGUCUUCUACGUAGAGAGGAUUCUAGAUCUUGAACUGAAUCUCUCAUAUGCGAGAGAGCAUCUUUUGAGGUGCUGCACAGAUCCAAUAACCUAAUGGACCCGCAAAGAAUAUCUUCUCCGCAGCUCAAACGAUCUUGCUGUGCGGCUUGCGAUUGGAUCAAAUCUUCUACACACUCAUAUAAGUCUUGAAGAGCGGAUAAUUUGUCGCAUUUGGAUACUGUCGAUGAGGAUGCCCCUUCCGGGGUCCUUAAUCUGCACAAGUGCUCCUCAACAGUGGCUGUCAAGGGAUGAGAUCUGGAUGGUAAGCUGAUGGAACGAGAAUGAGCACUAACUUUUGUGGUUGCAAUUGAGGCUGCCAUUUUUAUUUGCAGGAGGAAUUAGAUGCCAAUGAAAAUCCUGAACUCAAGGUUUGUUUGAUUGAACUCUCACCUUGGCACCUUUUUAUAAACUAUGAGGAGACAAAAGGAAUCAACCUAAUUUCCUUCAUGUGCUGAACAGAGAAACAGGCCAAGUAUCAGAAAAUGCAGAUCUCAAUUGUAGCAGUGUCUGUGGGAGGAGGAACAUUUGCUUGGCACAAAAUAAUAUAAUAUGCAAGAAACCAGGCUGGCGUUCAUCUGCAAAUUUUGG
Molecule: long non-coding RNA, 1949 nt
Filed under: Daucus carota (carrot)
Lineage: Eukaryota; Viridiplantae; Streptophyta; Magnoliopsida; Apiales; Apiaceae
Description: long non-coding RNA (DCAR_LNC003394)
Source: RNAcentral